GAGGGAGCUUAGAACACAGCGUUAAAGGUGGGGAGCAUGGCUCCGAUAAAUCCAGCCCCAUAAAACAUCAAAUCCUACAUGCCAACUCACAAAGCCAAAGUUCAAGGACACAUAAUACCUACCACAAACCUGAGAAGGGCCGGCAGCCUUGAAUAAAGCGGGCUUACCAACCUGGGAUGGAAGGGCGGUCCAGUCAGGAUCAGCGCCAAUCACGUGAGCCGCCAAACUCACAGAAGGAAAAUUAGAAACAAGAGGAUCCUUAGGAAAGAGAUUCAAUCUCAAUAGUAAUCAAAGAGAUGCAAAUUAAAACAGCCAUUGCCAAGGGUGAGAGAACUCGAGCGCGUUGAGGCGCUGGAACUCACUGGUGUGAUCUUCUCGGAGGACAAUUUGGCAAUACACACAAAAGGUUCAAAAUGCGCGAGUGCUAUUUCUAGGAACCAUCCCUGGAAGAUAAUCAGAGAUGCGCAGACAGAAGUUCCAAUAUGAGUCCAUUGUAUCUGUGUGUAUAAUCAGCCCCAAAACUGGCAGUUACCUCCACGUUCCGCAUCGGGGCCUCGCCUCGCUUGAGUCUGCCGUGAAGCGCUCAGUAGACUCCAGCUGAUGCUGGUGCCUGCCUCCGAUCCUCCAGAAUGAUGAGUUGGGUAAACACUUUUUCUUUAUGAUACACUCGGCCACCGGUGUUUUACAAUAGCAAUAGGAAAGUGGGCGAAUGUAUUGUGUUAUGACUGAGUUUUAAUUUCCCCUUCUCUCCUUUGCUAUUUUGUCAACUUUCCGCAUCGAGAACCCGAUCGGCAUGACAGCUAGAAAGUAAUAAUUAAUAAUUAAUAUUUUAAAAAGAAAUAUAUGUGAAGAGUCACC
This is a long non-coding RNA of Rattus norvegicus (Norway rat), 858 nucleotides long. RefSeq lists it as uncharacterized. Lineage: Eukaryota; Metazoa; Chordata; Mammalia; Rodentia; Muridae. The record is from RefSeq and is a predicted model, not a curated record.